UGGACUACAUCUCCCAAUUCACCACCGA
RNAcentral lists this small RNA (28 nucleotides) under Bombyx mori (domestic silkworm). Its description in RNAcentral is "ovarian small RNA-34573". Lineage: Eukaryota; Metazoa; Arthropoda; Insecta; Lepidoptera; Bombycidae. The record is from RNAcentral.